AAACCCAUAACUCAUAAUCAAAAUUCCAGCUUAACCAAGUAGUAACAUUCAGUAGGCAACAAUGUGAAAAAAUUAUACUAAUCAAAGAGAGAGAAUCCCAUGUCAUCGUCACUUUCCUCUUUCUCUUCCUUCUUCUCCUCAGCAGCAGGUGCCUCAGCUGCANNNNNNNNNNNNNNNNNNNNNNNNNNNNNNNNNNNNNNNNNNNNNNNNNNNNNNNNNNNNNNNNNNNNNNNNNNNNNNNNNNNNNNNNNNNNNNNNNNNNNNNNNNNNNNNNNNNNNNNNNNNNNNNNNNNNNNNNNNNNNNNNNNNNNNNNNNNNNNNNNNNNNNNNNNNNNNNNNNNNNNNNNNNNNNNNNNNNNNNNNNNNNNNNNNNNNNNNNNNNNNNNNNNNNNNNNNNNNNNNNNNNNNNNNNNNNNNNNNNNNNNNNNNNNNNNNNNNNNNNNNNNNNNNNNNNNNNNNNNNNNNNNNNNNNNNNNNNNNNNNNNNNNNNNNNNNNNNNNNNNNNNNNNNNNNNNNNNNNNNNNNNNNNNNNNNNNNNNNNNNNNNNNNNNNNNNNNNNNNNNNNNNNNNNNNNNNNNNNNNNNNNNNNNNNNNNNNNNNNNNNNNNNNNNNNNNNNNNNNNNNNNNNNNNNNNNNNNNNNNNNNNNNNNNNNNNNNNNNNNNNNNNNNNNNNNNNNNNNNNNNNNNNNNNNNNNNNNNNNNNNNNNNNNNNNNNNNNNNNNNNNNNNNNNNNNNNNNNNNNNNNNNNNNNNNNNNNNNNNNNNNNNNNNNNNNNNNNNNNNNNNNNNNNNNNNNNNNNNNNNNNNNNNNNNNNNNNNNNNNNNNNNNNNNNNNNNNNNNNNNNNNNNNNNNNNNNNNNNNNNNNNNNNNNNNNNNNNNNNNNNNNNNNNNNNNNNNNNNNNNNNNNNNNNNNNNNNNNNNNNNNNNNNNNNNNNNNNNNNNNNNNNNNNNNNNNNNNNNNNNNNNNNNNNNNNNNNNNNNNNNNNNNNNNNNNNNNNNNNNNNNNNNNNNNNNNNNNNNNNNNNNNNNNNNNNNNNNNNNNNNNNNNNNNNNNNNNNNNNNNNNNNNNNNNNNNNNNNNNNNNNNNNNNNNNNNNNNNNNNNNNNNNNNNNNNNNNNNNNNNNNNNNNNNNNNNNNNNNNNNNNNNNNNNNNNNNNNNNNNNNNNNNNNNNNNNNNNNNNNNNNNNNNNNNNNNNNNNNNNNNNNNNNNNNNNNNNNNNNNNNNNNNNNNNNNNNNNNNNNNNNNNNNNNNNNNNNNNNNNNNNNNNNNNNNNNNNNNNNNNNNNNNNNNNNNNNNNNNNNNNNNNNNNNNNNNNNNNNNNNNNNNNNNNNNNNNNNNNNNNNNNNNNNNNNNNNNNNNNNNNNNNNNNNNNNNNNNNNNNNNNNNNNNNNNNNNNNNNNNNNNNNNNNNNNNNNNNNNNNNNNNNNNNNNNNNNNNNNNNNNNNNNNNNNNNNNNNNNNNNNNNNNNNNNNNNNNNNNNNNNNNNNNNNNNNNNNNNNNNNNNNNNNNNNNNNNNNNNNNNNNNNNNNNNNNNNNNNNNNNNNNNNNNNNNNNNNNNNNNNNNNNNNNNNNNNNNNNNNNNNNNNNNNNNNNNNNNNNNNNNNNNNNNNNNNNNNNNNNNNNNNNNNNNNNNNNNNNNNNNNNNNNNNNNNNNNNNNNNNNNNNNNNNNNNNNNNNNNNNNNNNNNNNNNNNNNNNNNNNNNNNNNNNNNNNNNNNNNNNNNNNNNNNNNNNNNNNNNNNNNNNNNNNNNNNNNNNNNNNNNNNNNNNNNNNNNAAGAAUGUAUUUUGGAAUAGUAGAUUGAUAGAGAAUGUAUGAUUAAAAAUUAUGAAAACGUUCUAAAUUUGCGUAUAAUAUUAUUUUAUUGAAAAAUAUGUUGUUGAAAUGAUGUAAGAUAACUAUUUAAGAAUGUAUUUUUUCAAAAUAAUGAGACUCAAGCACCACAUUAAUCAUCCUUCCUAGUAGAAAACAACCAACAACUUAAGCAUUGGAAUGACGUCACGCUCCAUAUUUUCAAUAACCCACCUGCCUAACAUUGAAUUGUUUUGAAGAUUCUAGUUAAGUUUUGGGUUGAACCAAUUGAGGCGAGAGGGAAGCAAUAGACAAACUGAGCUUAGCAGACAUCAAGGACACAGCUAAAAUGCAGGCUGUAAGGAAAUAUCAGAUACAAGAUAGGUUAACUUUUCGUUAACCCCCUUAUACAUUUCUUCUCAAAUUCCCUGCCAAUCGUACAGUUCCGUGUAUGUAAUAUGCAGUUUCUUAGAUGAAUAAUCAACAUGAAAGCACCUGUUGCUAAUUAUCUAGUAAUAAAGAUUGAAAUAUUUCUUCACCGUCCCCAAGCGAAAAAAAAAAAUUGAAAAAGAAGGCUGAGAGCCCAUACAAGGCAAACAGAAAAAUGCAUAUAAAUGGCCACACAAAUUUAUGCAGAGAUAAAUUCUACUGGAAAAUGCAGUUAAGCAUAAACAAUCUUUUACCAUAGAUAUUCAAAACCCAAUAAAAGCAAGCAACGUCUAUAAACCCAAAACUCAUAUCAUUAAAAUUUCAGCUUAACCAAGUAGUAACAUUCAGUAGGCAACAAUGUAAAAAAAUUAUACUAAUCAAAGAGAGAGAAUCCCAUGUCAUCGUCACUUUCCUCCUUCUCUUCCUUCUUCUCCUCAGCAGCAGGUGCCUCAGCUGCAGCGCCAGCAGCUGCUGCUCCACCUCCUCCAAUGAAUGCACCACCACCAACACCACCACCAAUAAUCACCUGUGCCAUUGCAACAGAUUCAAUUAUAUAUUGUAACAUAAGCAUCCCUAGAAGGAACCUAACAAGAGUUCUAGAAAAUUCGACUAGUACCCUAGAUUUUUACACUAUAAAAUAAUGAGAAUUCGGGGUUUAAUGACAGAACUAAACUAUAAUUCCUGCAAUAGAAAGGUACAAUUUUCUGAAGUCAAAUGUACACACGUCAGUGUUGCCCGCUUCGCAAUAAAGUCUUAUACAUGCCACAUUAGACCAAAACAUAAAAUAGAGGGAAUGACGCAUAUUAAUCAGAACAACACUCGUCGAAUCAUUAAGUUACGAAUGAAGAUAUAUAAAUAUAUAUAUAUAAUUCAAUAUACAAAGAAACCUGGAAAACGGCGGAGGAAGGUGUGACGUAAGAGAAAGAAGACUGGACGGCACUGGAUGAGUCAGCGGAGAGGGCGGCUUGGACUAGCUUGCGCUGCAGCUCGAAGGUGGAGCCAGCGGACGACUCCAGCUCGCCGUUCAGCUGCUUAGCCGUCCACUCGUCAUCUGAACUCCUGCACACGAACGUGAACACUCCCAUUUCUCUUUUUUUUUCCCCUCUGAAUUUGAUCGGAUUUGGCUUGCUUAAGGGCUUUUGAGUGAGGCGGAUAAUGACACAGUGACACACCAAUGCAAGGGUCCAGGGUUUUAGUUAGGGAUGAUAUGGGUGAUAUGACUAACUUGUCCUCGAAUUUUUUCAGUAAUGACAAUUUUAUUUGUUCCAUUUUUUUCUUUUUUCUUUUUUAUUUUUUCUACCUUUUUUCUCUAUCCUUUGGCCAAGUAGCAAUUAUUUUUUCUUCAACAUUUUUUUUUUUUUGGGUAACAAAUCCAUCCCCAGCCUUCGUCAAUUAGAACGUUAUGAAUAUUUUUACAACGAAAAAAAGUUAAAAACAUAAUUUCUACUUUGUUAUAGAAACAUUAUAGAUAGCUAAUGUAGAUAGAAAUAUUUGUUCAAAAAACAUUAUGAAUCAUGAGGCUCAUUUCAUUGAAAUUCCCUUAUCUUCCUUUCUUCUUCUUUGAUGGUCUAGGGACCUUCUUCUCCGCAAUAAAUGUGUAGGGAGAGGAAGAAUUACGGGGUGGGUGUUUGGGGGAUAGGAUUUUGGAGAAUCAAAGUUUGGGGACUUUGGAAUUAAUUCGAGCAGUUUUUGACUUGGUUUCUAACUAUUUCUCAUUUUUUUCAGUAAAAAACAUGUUUUACAGAAGCUCGCCUUUCUUAUGUGACAAGCCUUUCGCUCAUGAUUGAUCACAUAACAGUGUUGGGGCACAGCUUUGCAUUCGAUCUGUCAAGUCAGCUAUUUUGUGAGAGUUACUAAACAAAAAUCAUUCCAGUGAGUAACGUAUUUUGAUAUGUUUAAUGAUCAAAAUUUGACAUUUGAAAUUGUAGUAAAUAAUCGAAGACAUUGACCUAAAUUUUUUGAUUAUUGGGAUAAUAAUACCAUAAGUACAUAUAGAACUUUACAAUUACAAAUUCCAAGACAUUCCGUGGUCAGAAUUGUGAUCUUUCAUAUUUUAAAGAACUUUGCUAUAUUUACAGAAAAUGAGCUACAAGAAAUAAUACAGACACACUUGACUACAAUUUGUCGGCUAAGAACAAAAUACAAAAAAGAGGCACCAGAUGCAACAUGUGGUGCAGUUCUGACAGUAAUUGCUCCGUUCAAGAGGAAUUGUUGUAUUUCAAAAUAUGAAUUUAGUAUUUUACGUAGAGUAAUCAUCCAUGUUUGAAAUAAGAGCACCCAAUUUAUUUUUAUUGUUUAUUUUUCUUAUUUGGGUAUUGAUAUAAUAUGCUGCUUUGGACACAAUAUGCUUUCCAUUAAACUUAUUCGCCUUUGAUAAAUAAUUGCACCACAAAUAAUAUAUACACGAAAGCAACAGUAAUAUGCAACAAAUUCAUGUUUAAAAAUUCGAUAGUACUACGUGUACAUAAUAAGUUUACAUAAUGAUUUACAUAUACAUUUUGUGGUGAUUGAAUUAGAAUUUCUUCAAUAAAAAAAAAGGACUUUGUCAUUCUCUUUUUGACACCUCAUUUAUAUAUAAACUAUUAUAUAAUUACUUAUAUACAAGUAACGUUAUGCUAAAAAAUUUUACAUGUAUAAGAACAAAUAUGUGACGGUUUAUGCAUGCAAGUUUUUGGAAAAUUUGAAUAAUCAAGUAUAGAGGUUGGCUCUGAUAACACAUGUAAGAGAUUAGUUGCGUACAUCCACUCAUGAUAUUCAAGAUGCAUUUGAAAACUUGCACUUUAAAAGAGACCUCACAAUCCCAACAUGUCUUCUAGUCAGUAGCCACUAGAUAAUCCUUGACUUGAUGGAACUAACACAUCUGUAUAAUUUUGAUUGGCACCCUUUGUAUCUUUACUCAAUAUACACAAAUUUCUCAUCCAGAAAAAGAUAAGAUUUUAAAUAUUGUGGAUUCGUGAAAAAAGGAAAGUCAACUGCCUUACUUUUAUAUAUCAAUACAUCAAUUUCGAUCACCAUAGAGUUGGUGGUUUCUCCCUCAAUACCUUCUCCUCAAUAACCUAGUGAAAGGUUAUUAUGACAGUUAAUUAACUUACUAUUUAAAUUUAAAUUUUAAAUUAAUUCAUUAAGCAUGUGAGCCAUAUAUUUUUCCAUAUUUGAGAUCAAGAUGAAGCAACUUGAUUAGCUACUUUAUAUAUGUAGAUAAUUCUUUAAGUCCAUACAAAGCAUCAAGGCAGCUAGCUGCCUUUCUCAAUCUUGGAUUCUCACCCAAAUCAUAUUUCUUAUUAAGUUUCUGUUUGGUAGGAAUUAAAAUAUAAAUUUAAAUUUAAAUUAAAUUCAAAAAUUAAUUUUAAUAAAAUAUUUCAUAAAAUCCACCAUUUUUCAACCAUGCACGUCAUAAGCUUUUACUCAAAACUACUUAAAAAUUGAUUUUAAUCCCCAUUAAACAUGGACUAAGUUAAUCUGCAAUUUUUAUUGGAAGUGCAUCAAAUAAUAACUUCAACUGUUGGCUUUUAUUUUGACUUAUCAGCCUUUUUCUUAAUUAUAUAAGCAACCAUUAUAAAAAACAGACAAUGUGACAUUUUCGUGUCGUUGGUCAAACAUCAAAUACAAAGCCACGAUAACAUAUCAAGUUUCAUACACUAAAAAGUUUGCAUGUCAACUUCAUUAAUUCCUCAUCUCAGCUGAUUCUAUUCCCAGAAUAAUUUUGAAGGCAUUCUCAUCAAUCGUAGAUAAUGGACAGUCCGUCCCCUUUGGAUUCCAAUUAUAGCAGUAAACUUAUAGUUGCACUCUCUCUAACGUAAAGAAGAGCAAGUUUCUAUGGGUGAGACGACAUUCCAUUUGUUGAAUUUGUGUUGACUCGAGAAGAUAACGUUAUUCUUUUAUUAACUCGAAAGUCAUUUUACUUAUGAAGAUGGAACACAGUUUGGGCUAACUCAUGUUUAUUUUUUUAUUUCCUUUCAUUUAAAAAAAAAAAAAAGAGAAUUAAUCCCUAAGUACGGGGAUUAAUUUCAUAGAGGCCUGUUGGGUCCCUCACUGUAGCAGGCGGGCCCCACAUGUAAAUAAAAAAAACUGCGGCGACUCCAUUGUCUGUGUGUAUCCUGGUAGUAGGUCCUGUACUUCAAGCAUGAUUGAAAAAAAAAAGGGUUUGUUUCUUAUUGUUAAUAGUUUAGGUAUUAUUUUAGGAUUUAAUGAGAGAUGAAAGUAAGGAUUGGAGAGUUUUCUCUAAAAACUAAAAAUUAACACUAGCUAGGUUUCAUUGUUAGAUAGUUUUUGAUCAUUUAAUAUUGAACUUUGGCAUUUGAUAUUCUUUAUAAAUUAACUAACUCUUAAUUUUCAAACUCUCGAGUAUUUACAUAGUCAAUGAGGCUUCAGAGUAAAUAAUCAAAUCGAAAGCCCCCCGGGACACAGCUCAAUUGGUGGAUCAAUCAACAUUAGUCUUGCUUCCAGCGGCAGGGUGGAGGUUCGAAUCCUGGUGGGAACCUGCGACCAAAAAUUUGGUAUGGAGCAAUCACUUUGGAGGAGGAUCUCUUGUGCGCAGAAAUGUACAGGCGAUGGGGGGAACAUGUGAUUUAAUUGAGGCAUAAUCCGCGAUUUAUCCCCCCCAAAGUUUUAGGGGCAAGGGUUUUGGGGGUCCAGGAUUUAGUCUAGUGUAAGUUGGGAUACCUGGAUAUCAAAAAAAAUAAUAAUAAAAAAAAAAUCAAAUCAAAAAAUGAAUCAAGAAUUAGUCUAAAAAAAAGGACAUUUCUUGCGUAUUGGGAUGAGAAUAUGUCUCCUCCAUUUGUUGCCCCCCUCACCCAUUAGAAUCGGAUAAUAAAGACUUCUUUUUAACUAUUUAAAGGGUGCUGCUCCAUUUUAUGUAUACCAUCUCCACAUAAUUAAAUUGGCGGAGGAAAUGUUUUGUCUGAGGGGCUUUGCAUGAAGUGGAAGAGUGGAACGUAGCCAGGAAUGAUUUGCCGAUGUCUAUAUGUAUAGCUGCAAAAAAUUGUGCUUGCAGUUGCUUUCGAACGGCAAGUUAUUCUUGGCUAUGUUCGACUCUCUUCAUCUAAUGCAAGGCUCUCGAGGCACAUAACUAAAGGUAAAUUUGAACUUAUUUAUAAGUAACUUUUUUGUUAAUGAUUGUGUGACCUUAUGAACAUUUUCAAGAUUUUCUUCUGCUUUGUGGUUGUGAACACUCAAGUGGCGGAUUUAGUAGAGACUAGGCUAGAUUGGACUUUAGCCGAGUCCCCCAACCGAUUUCAAUUUUUUAAGAGCAAAUAUUUAUAUUUUUUAUAAGUAAAAUACUUCUUUUUAUGUAUAAAUUUUAUUUUAUUUUACAUAUUAGUCCUGUUAAAAAAAAAAUAGUUCAGUCCUGAAUCUGUCCCUACGAACACUUGUGUUCAGAUCCCAGCUUCCAUGCAAUUAACUUUUAUUAUUUUUUUGGAGAAAUUUGCACAAUCAAUCUUUUACCUUUAGUUCUAUUUGAGAAGCAAACCCACCUACAAAUUAACCAAAACAAUUGAUUAGUGUAAGGAUUUGCAAAGUAAAUUGAAGAAAAUCAAGACCAAAAUCUGAAAAUAAAAGGAACAGUUUUCCCCUUUAUGAUUCGGCUCAGAAACUUGAUCCACACCACAAAGGUAUCUCCAAUUUGAAGGUCAUUAUCAGUCACAUAUACAGAUUCACAAAGAAAAGGCAAGAGAAGAUUGAUUCGUUUUUUGCUCUCGUUUUUGGUGUGUUUAAUGGAAGGGAAGAGUCUCCUAUUUAUAGACUUAUAGGAGUGAAUGAAUUUCACAGGAGUCUUCAAGAUUAGAUUGAAUAAAAAUUGCAAGAUUAUAUCCAAACUGAAAGAUAGAGCUCAUCCAACAAAAUGAGAUAAAAUUGGUUUGAUAAAGAUAACGAUAAUAUUUAUCCAUUUUUUCAUAUGAAUUUCAAAUUCCCUCCAAGUUGGGUAUUGGGCAUCCAACCCAAUGGGCUGAUUACCUCUAAAUACCUAACAUAAUUGGGCUACUUCAAUUGUGGUGUGGAUUUAAUUCUUCAAUCCUGGGCUUAUAGCCUAUAAAGUUAAAACGGGCCUCGAUUUUUCAUCAUAGCCUAGGGGAUUUGGGCAUCACUUACCAAUCAUGCCCAACAAUCUCCACCUUGAUGCCAAAUCAUCCUGCAAGUCAGAUAAGAUAACAAAUAGCUUAAGGGAAGAGACUUACAAGUUUGUGCCGAUAUUUAGAAGAUCAAGGCAGCUUCUAAACUUUAUCAAUGGGAGCACCUUAGUUCCCAUAUCAGCAGGAUUAUAUUCUGAAAGGACUUUCUCAAGUUUUACCAGUUCUUGAGAAACCAUAUCUCUAAUGAAAUGCAAUCUAACAUCUAUAUGUUUAGUACGUUCAUAAAAGACAGGAUUUUUGCAUAGGUGAAUAGCAGAUUGACUAUCAGAAUAUAUUAUCACAUUGUCCUUCAAAACACCAAGUUCAUUUAAUACACCUUUAAACCACAAAGAUUCUUUAAAGGCUUCAGUAGCAGCAAUGUAUUCUGAUUCAGUAGUAGAUAAUGCAACAACAUGUUGAAGUUGUGAUUUCCAACUAACACAUGAAUUACACAAAGUAAACAUGUAGGAAGAUGUAGAUUUCCUAUUAUCUCUAUCACCAGCAUAGUUAGCAUUAGUAAAACCUUUCAAUUUUAUUCCUUCAGUACUAAACUUAUAUAGUAAGCCAAUAUUGCAUGUUCCUUUCAAAUAUCUAAACAACCAUUUCAGAGCCUCCCAAUGUUUGGGACCCGGGUUGGAUAUAUACCUGCUAAGUGUACUAACAGCAAAAGCUUAGUCAGGUCUAGUACACACCAUUAGAAACAUCACAGAACCAAUGGCAUUUGUAUAUGGUAUUCGUUUCAUAUAUUCUUCUUCUUCUUCAUUAGCAGGUGAUUGUUCUUUAGAUAAUACAAAGUGAUUAGCUAAAGGUAAUGUAACAGGUUUACAUUCAUUCAUACCAAAUUUUUUCAAAAUUUUCAUGAUAUAUGAAGCCUGAUGUAAGAAUAAAAUUGAUUUAGACCUAUCUCUUUGAAUUUCCAUACCUAAUAUUCUUUUAGCAUUACCUAGAUCUUUCAUAUCGAAUUCAUUACUUAAAGUAGUUUUUACAUCAUUUACCAACUUCAAGUUGGGACCAAUCAAAAGCAUAUCAUUCACGUAUAGCAACAAAAACACACAGUCAUUAUUGUUUGCAUUACCUUGAUAGUACAAGCAAUGAUCAAAUUCACUCCUUUUAAAACCAAUUGUUUUAACAAACGAAUCAAAACGUUUGUACCAUUGUCUAGGAGAUUGUUUUAAACCAUACAAAGAGCGUUUAAGAAAACACACAUGAUCAGAUUUUUGUUUAUUUUCAAAACCUUUAGGUUGAUCCAUAAAAAUCUUUUCAUCAAGUUCUCCAUGUAAAAAAACAGUUUUAACAUCAAGUUGUUCAAGUUCCCAAUUGAAAUGUGCUACUAAUGCAAGCAUAGUCCUAAUUGUGGUAUACUUAACAAUUGGAGAAAAGAUCUCAUUAUAAUCUACCCCUUCCUUUUGUGUGUAACCUUUGGCCACAAGUCUAGCCUUAAACUUUAAACCCUCUUCUUUGGUAAUUCCCUCCUUAAUUCUAAAAACCCAUUUACACCCAAUUGUUAACUUGUUUUUAGGUCUUGGGACUAAUUCCCAUGUUUGAUUUUUAUCGAGGGAAUUUAUUUCUUCUUUCAUCGCUUUCACCCAAUCCUCAGAUUGUUCACUCCUUAAGGCUUCUUCAUACGUGUUUGGUUCCCUAUCAACUAGUUCUUCAUAACUAGCAUAAGCAAGCUCAAAAUUAGACUCUAAUCUUUGAGGCACUCUAUGUGUUCUUCUAACUCUGUCUCUAGCUAACUGGUAAUCAGAUAAAGGGUUUUGCUUUCCUUGAUAUUCCUCUAUAACUUCAUUUCUCUCAAUAUUUUCACUCUGAUUAUCUUCUAGUUCAGGAUUUUGAUGCUCCACCUCGAUUGAGGUAGUGGGGGUUUGAACACUUAAGGACCUUAAAUUUACUUGAGAUUUGUUACUAAUGUUUUCUUGUUGUUUUUCUCUCAAGAUGUCAUUUUCUGAUUUUAGACAUGGCAUUUCAGACUCAUUAAAUGUAACAUCACGACUUAUGAUAAUCUUAACUCCAUUUUGACUUCUAUCCCAAAGCCUAUACCCUUUAACUCCUUCAGGAUAUCCUAAGAAAACACAUUUCCUAGCUCUAGGUUCUAGUUUUCCCUCAUUUUGAUGAGAGAAAACAGCACAGCCAAAAGUUUUUAACAUAGUAUAGUCAGCACAUUUACCAUACCAUUUUUCAUGUGGAGUAUCACCAUUUAAUGCAGUAGAAGGUGUCAAAUUAAUUAGAUAACAUGCAGUGAUAACAGCUUCACCCCAAAAAGAUUUAGGAAUUCCAGAACUCAACAUCAUACAUCUAACUUUGUCAAGUAAAGUACGAUUCAUACGUUCAGCCACCCCAUUUUGUUGAGGUGUAUAAGGAACAGUUUUAUGUCUAGUAAUUCCACACUUUUUACACAAAUCAUCAAAAUCAUUAUUACAGAACUUUAGGCCGUUAUCAGUUCUUAGAUAUUUUAUCUUUUUGCCAGUUUGAGUUUCAACUUGCAAUUUCCAUAUUUUGAAAAAUUUAAAGGUUUCAGUUUUAUCUUUUAACAGAUACACCCACACCCUACGAGAGUAAUCAUCAAUUAUGAACAUAAAAUAUCUAUUACCACCCAUUGUAGGAUUAGUAGCAGGCCCCCAUAAAUCAGUAUGAAUAUAUUCCAAGACUUUAGUAGUUUUAUGCAUACUAUAUGAAAAAGAUGACCUACGAUGUUUACCAAGUACACAGUGAUCACAGAAAAACAUAUUAGACACACAGUCUUUUCCAAAUACACCUUUAUCAUUUAGCAGUUUAAGUCCUUUAAUACUUAUGUGAGCUAAUCUAUUAUGCCACUUGUGUGUGUCAUCAGUGUUGGUCAAAUUUAUAGAAGAAAUUGAUUUUUUAACAAUUUCAGCAGUGGUCACAUAAAUACUGUUUUUUUAGUACCUUUACAUGUGACAAGAGCACCCUUAAUCAUUUUAAGCAUAUUGUUUCCAAUUUUACUAGUAAAACCAUCAGUUUCUAAUGCUCCAACUGAAAUAAGAUUCUUAGCCAUUUCAGGAAUAUAUCUAACUCCAUGUAAUUUAAGCACAUAACCAGUGUCAAAUUUUAACGUGAUAUCACCAAUGCCAGCAAUUUUAUAUGCAUGAUUAUUGCAUAAAAUGACAUGACCACUUACAGAUUCUUGCAUAUUUUCAAACCAGUCUUUAUUUGCUGAAACAUGAAAUGAUGCACCAGAAUCAAGUAUCCAUUCAUUUAAUUAUGAUUUCACAGUCAAAUUUACUUCAGUAGGUUCAGAGUUUAAUAGCACAUAUACUUCACAAAAUUCAUCAGAGGAAGUAAUAACAUUUGCCUCAUCGUGAACCCUUUCCUUUUGUUUGUUUUUCUCAACAUAACAAUCUUUAAUGAAGUGUCCAGUUUUACCACAACCAUAACAUUUUCUACCUUUAGUUUUAUUUCUUGACCUAGAUAAACUUCUACUUUUCUUUUUAUUAUCCACUUUGGUCAUCAAGGGUUCUUGACUGAGACCUACCUCUCAUAAUAUGUAUCUCACCACUUCUUCUCUCGACUCUCUCAGCUCGCAUUUCCAUUUCUUUACUUCUUAACGAGUCUAUGACAAUUUCAGUUGUCAAAGUAUCUCUCUCAUAUUUAAUAGCAUUUUUAACAUCUCUAUAAGUUUCAGGGAUAGCAUUUAACAAAAUUAUUGUUUUAUAUUCCUCAGAUACUUUUUCACCACAGUUAGUAAUAUCUUGUACGAGUUUAUUAAAGAUAUCCAAAUUAUCAUCAAAAUCUUUUGAAGAAUUGAUUUUGAAGCUAAAAAAGCUUUCAAGUAGAAAAAGUUUGUUUGGAGUUGACUUAGACACAUAAAGUUCCUCCAAUUUUUCCCAAAGUUUUUGAGCUGAUUUUAAUUUACCAACUUUUCUUAAUACCGCAUCAGACAGGUGUAAUAUUAUAGAAGCGUAUACCAAUUCAUCCAUAUUUUCUUUUUCUUCAUUAGUCAAGUUUGCAGAAUAAGAGUCAUCAAUAGCUUUAGAAAUUUUUUGUUGAACAAGAAUACCUUUCAUUUUUUGUUGCCAAAUUGAAAAAUCUCCUUUACCAUUAAAGACACCCAACUCAAAGUGAUGUGUAGACAUUUUACCAAAAAAUGCACAAAACACAAAUUCAGAUAUGUAAAAGUCACAGGUCACACAGAUUACACGGAGUAACAAGAUUCCUAUGGUUUCACAAUAAUGCACUAUUCUAGAACCCCAGGGUUUCGUGAGAAUCGAGUUCUCACAUCAAGGGAAGAACUAGAAUAGGAGUCCGGGUACAAGUCUAAAAUAAUACGAGAUAACGCAACAACGUUCAACAAAUUAAUCUAAUGAAAAUUAAACAAAUAAUGGCAAGUAAUCCUAGGUUCUAUGAACAAGCAAUGGUUGCCUAGCAAUGACAACCCCCAAUCCUAAUGAUCACCCCACACGAUGAUCUACUAGUGCGAUAAUGUAGAGUUUCGGCCAAUUUACUAGAGCGGACUUGUCUGAGUCCGUAAAUUACGAGAGAUGCGAAUUUAAUACUUUAGGCCGCAAUUUUUUUUUUGGCUUAAAGUAAUUCAGUAAAUAUAUGGCAAUUUCGACCGUUAAUUCACCAAGGGCAAAAUCGUCCAACUUUUUCUACGUAACCUGAAACAGAAAACUUCCAACACAAAAAAUGUUAGAAAUGACGAGAGGAACAAACUGCCUGAAGACAGUUUCGCCGAAAUAGCCUCCACGCGUCGUCACCGGAAUCUCCACGCGCCGUCGCCACGCGCCGCCGUCGAAAUCACGCGCCGAACACCCAGCACCGCCUUCACCUGCACGUCUCAACCCCGGUCUCCAUUUCACCAAUGGACUUCUGGAUUGACGGGAAAACGCGUUUGCAGGUUCGGUUUUUAGUGCAAAAACUGGGCAGUUCGUUUUUUUUUGCUUUUCUGCCGGUUUCUUGUCAGUUUUUGGCCGGAUUUUCACCACCACCAAGCUCUGAUACCAAUUGAGAAGCAAACCCACCUACAAAUUAACCAAAACAAUUGAUUAGUGUAAGGAUUUGCAAAGUAAAUUGAAGAAAAUCAAGACCAAAAUCUAAAAUAAAAGGAACGGUUUUCCCCUUUAUGAUUCGGCUUAGAAACUUGAUCCACACCACAAAAGUAUCUCCAAUUUGAAGGCCAUUAUCAGUCACAUAGACAGAUUCACAAAGAAAAGGCAAGAGAAGAUUAAUUUGCACUAAGUAGGGAAGUUUUUCUUCCUCUUGUUUUUGGCUCUCGUUUUUGGUGUGUUUAAUGGAAGGGAAGAGUCUCAUAUUUAUAGGCUUAUAGGAGUGAAUGAAUUUCACAGGAAUCUUCAAGAUUAGAUUGAAUAAAAACUGCAAGAUUAUAUCCAAACUGAAAGAUAGAGCUCAUCCAACAAAAUGAGAUAAAAUUGGUUUGAUAAAGAUAACGAUAAUAUUUAUCCAUCUUUUCAUGUGAAUUUCAAAUUCCCUCCAAGUUGGGUAUUGGGCAUCCAACCCAAUGGGCUGAUUACCUCUAAAUACCCAACAUAAUUGGGCUACUUCAAUUGUGGUGUGGAUUUAAUUCUUCAAUCCUGGGCUUAUAGCCUAUGAAGUUAAAACGGGCCUCGAUUUUUCAUCAUAGCCUAGGGGAUUUGGGCAUUACUUACCAAUCAUGCCCAACACUAUUUGCAUACUUUGUCCUUUUUACAUAAUUAUAUCAACUUUUUUUUUCCCUUUCGCAGAAAACUUUCGUAAUCAACUAUAUAUUCAAUCUAUGUACCAUCAAUUUACUCGCUUGCAUGCGUAUAAAUCCAUCUAUUAAUUUAAGUUAACCAACCAUAAGUAGAGCUGUGAAUUUUACUUGAUUAAAGAAAUACAUGGACUUGUCAUUUUAUGAAAUGGGGAACUAAAUACAAUGUACAAAAAGGAAUAUCUUGGUAAAUUAAUAACUAUUGAUUAAUGGAUAAAUUAAUAAAUUGUUAACUUAUAAAUUAUUUACUAUUCGCCAAACUGAUAUUUUUUUUUAUUCCAAAAUAAUUAAUAGAGGUUUAAAAAUACAAUCAUGCUACACAUCCAAGUUAAAAUCCAAACUCAAAUUCGGAUUGGACAAUUUGAAAAAUUAAAACAAAACACCUAAUCAUUUUUUGACACAUCCGUCUGUCUUUUCACUCGUAUUUCAAUCUGGCUAAAUAGUUUUAUUCUUAAAAAUAUAAAGCCAUUCAUCCUCCGGAGCUAUUUUCGGUUGAACCUAUAGUCAAUGAGGAGAAGUGCAAGCUUUUAAGCUUAUGGUACAAAUCUGUUGGAAAUUCUUAAUUUAUAUUGUUUUGAUUUACAUUUAUACUCUCAUAUCAAGUGAGAAUUAAUUUUUGACAAUUCUAACACUACUAUAAUUCAAUUAUUUCAAUAAUACCUUAUUUCUCAUUUUUUUAAUAUGUGUUUAAUUUAUUUAACCAUUUGGACAAUACUAUCAUGAUUUAUUUUGCCAACUAUCUAGUCACCAUCAAUGUACAUUUGACAUAUCCAUUUUACUUGUGUGCUUUCAACACACAAAACUCAAUUGUAAUGUAAUAAAUACUACAAAAUUUCUGAUCAUGUAUGAAUUUUUUGUUAUUAAUUCUCAACUAAUUAAUAUUCACAUUCACAUUCAUUUAAUUAAUAUUCAUCUUCAUUUAUGCAUUUUAGUGUUAUUAAUUCUGAUUAUAAGUUAAUUAGAAUUUUGCAUUCAAGAAUACAUUUCAUUAUUCAUGUUCUGAUGUUCAUGUAUGUAAUAAAAUUUAUUUACAGAAGUCCAAACAAGCAAACAAAAUAUAAUCAUAAUUUAAAUACACAAAAAUUAAGUUCCAUCUUACAAAAUAUUGUCUAAUGACAAUGGUUUACUAAUAUAGAAGAAUGAAUCACUGAUUAUCGUAUUCAAAUUAUAUAUAUAGUUUGAUUCUUAGUUAAGGUUUUAAAUUGGAACUAAACCAUAACCAAAUAGCUCUUGGUUCUAAGAAUCAAAAUCACUAAUUUUUUUGUAGAAUUGGAUCGAAUCUCUUGAUUUGGUUCAAUUCUGAUUUCGUUUGUUCAUUUUGUCCACCUUUACUUGUGCUCCGAUUUUAAUAGGAAAAUAUAAACAACUAAAUUUGACUCAUAUAAUAUUAUUCAAUUUCAAGGGUUCGGUGGGAGAACAUAUGUGCAAAGGCUGGGGCCACGUUUGACAGUAUAUAUUUUGAAAAGUCAAAAGUUAUCUGCAAGACUAAAACGUUGCAUUUAUUUCUAUUUAGAUAAUUUUCAAAAAAUAUUUUGACUCGUUAGAAAAGCUCUUAGAGAAAACCGUUCAUAAUAACUUCUUAUAAUACUUUUUUUUCAAAAUGUAGAAAUCUUGUUAAAUGGAUUCUAAAAAUCAUGACUAAGCUCUUUUAGAAAUAUAACAUUAAUUAAAUAAACAGAGACAUGAAAUAUACCAUAAAAGAUAUCAAUGAACGCAAAAAUAUUUUCUAUUAAGCUCAAGUUUGGGCUUUAUUUUUUCAAAAUUUAUUUUCAAUUACACAUUAUUCCAUAAAAUAAUAUUACCCAUAAACAAAUUUUAUUUUUAUUUUUUAAUAUUUUAACUACACAUUCUCUAAAAAAUUAUUAUUUCAAAAUACAUUUUCUCCCAAAAUUACAUUAAAAUGGAACCAAACAUGGCCUAAAUAAGUGUGAUUAGAUAAGCAUUUAUUUGUUACUCAACACGAUAUACAUACACACAAGAUAUAUCUAAUAUUAUUUUUUUUAAUUCACUCAGAGUCGGAUCAAUCCCUAAACAAAAAAGGCGGUCACCAACUUUAGGAAAACCCUCCAAAUUUUAUAAAAUUAAUUUCCAAAUAGCUUUGCCAUUGCAAUCUUUGAAUCAUUUUUUUUUCUUCUGCAAUAAUUAAAACACUUAUUUUCAGAUAUUGAUGGAAAUUUUGUAUUUAAAUAAAUUACUAGAAAUAUGAAAAAUUAAUGUCAAUUUUUUUUUCAUUGAUAAUGAAUUAACAAUUUGAAAAUUAGCUUAUUUGACAUUUAUUUCUCAAAAUAUGGAGUGUGAAUUAAACACAUGUUGAGUUGAGGUUGAGAUAUUGAUGCAAGUUCUUCCCUUAUGAAUCAGAUACAUUCAUAUUUGAAAGAGGUUGGGAAUAAUAAUUGACUGUUUGUCCUUUUUGUCUACGAUCAACGACGAAGCGCCUUUGGUGACCAUUGAUGACUAUAACGACAUAUUAUCUUCGAUAGUUGGUGUGUAUGUGAUUAUCAAUAAUAUUGGUGUCAAACUAUUGGUUAUUCAUUUCGAAAAUGAAUUAUCAACCAAAGUUGAUUCCCAUCAAAUUCAUCUAAGAAAAGUUGUCGGCGAUCAUCGAUGGUAUCUUUUUCGGUGAUCAUUUGCAUCAUUUAAUUUAUUAUUAUAUUUUUUAAACAAAUUUCUAAUGUUUUUUUUUUUUUACGUAAAAUCCCUAAAUUACUCAAUUCACACACAGACACACAUGAUAUGUAUAUGAAAAAUAUCACAAUCUUGUUUAGCCAAUGUAGGGAUAUGUUAGAGCUCAAGCCCAUCAUGUGUCGAUUUUCCCACGGGAGUCUUUUUGUUUUGUUUUCUUUAUUCUUUUAAUUUUUUUAAUUUUUUUUUUUUUUAUGUUUAAAGAAAAGUUAAUAUGGAUUAUAAAGGGAGUUGAGCAUUGUAUCUAUGUCGGUCCUUAACAGUUAACACCCCUGUCAAAUCUCACACCGUGCUGAACAAAUUGCCAAUCCAAUUCUACAGGAAAGUGUACAUUGUGCCUAGGGAUAUCAAUUUGAUUUGUCGGCUCGACGGCUCGUUGCUCGACUUGGGAAAAGCUCAACCUGGCCCGGCUCGUUGCUCAAAGGAAGAGAGAUGAGGCUCGAGCCAAGCCUUAUUUUUAUAGGCGAUUUGAGCUCGAGCCAACUCGUAUCACGAGCCAUUUUGGUCCGUGAUGAGCCAAACAACCACGAGCCAAAAAUGGUCCGGUGUUUGAAACUACGACUGCCCUCAUAAAAAGGCAAUUGUGUAGCUGCCUGUUAAGGCAGUUGUCCCGACCACCUUUAAAUAGGUAGCGAGGAGGCAACCAUGUUGCCUUAAAAAAAUGAGCUGACUGGUCUCGAUAAGGUCCUGAGCUGAGUCUAAACUUUUGGAUCAAGCUUUUGCUCAGCUCGUCUCGACUCGAAAUAAUAGAGCUUGAGUCUCAUGCUCAAGCCAAGAGUUUCGACUUGCGAGCCAACUCGGCUCGUUUGCAUCCCCAGUUGUAUCUGGCCUAACUCACCCAAAAACGUUUUGGUCUAAUCCAAUUUAUUCAUCUAGACUCUCUUAUAGAAUAUGUAAGCAUGUUCACCUAAGCAAGUUAUUUUUACGAUAAAAGCAUAAAAAAGGACAGAUUUUGUUUGUUUUUUUUCUUGUACUUGUAGAACAAUUCUUUUCUUUUUUUUUUUUUAACGCUAAAUACUAUUAAAGUAUUUUUUAUGAAUUUUAGCUUAAAAACUUAAUCUUUUACUUUCGAAUAAAUGUUUUUACAUUUUUAAGUUUAGCGAAACAUGCUAACUAUAAUUAACGUUGAAAUAUGGGAGCCCAUGGAUUUGACACGGACCUCCACGUAUAGAGAAUUGAGAAACACCACAAUACAAAGGUAUCUCUCUUCUACAAUGCAAAGAGUUAUGUAACAUAUAUAGGGGAAUUUUCACAGAAAUUUUACUGAAUUUCACAUGGGACAGAUUUAUUGACAGAUGACAAAACAAAAUUUUUUUUUUUGCAAUUCACUGUAUCCCUAUACUUGGGGGAUUUUCCACGCAAAUAUAAUUUUAGCCUUGUUUGUUUAGAUAAAAAUAAUUUUUUUUAGUAGAAUUGAUAAAAAGUUAAUGAAAUAUAUGAUUGAAAAAUUGUGGGUCCCAUAAAAUCUAUGGUUAAAAUUAAUUGUUAAUUUUGAUUAAAUUUUAAUUGAAAAUUUUUAACUAAAUCGAACAAGGUUUAAUAUAAGUCCUACAUUAUAACACAUUAUUCUGCAUUCCUUAGAAAUCAUGUUAAAAUAUUAAUGUUGCUUUAAUGAAAGGCUCCAUUGCUUAUUUCAUACAUAUUUAUACUUCUUACACCAUUCUUAAUUGAUCUAAAACAUACUUUAAAAUUUGAAGUUUCACCAAUCAUGAAAUUCAAUUUCUAAACAUGAAGUUGUUGAUCAUUUGAACUUAAUGUGCCCGAUCUAUUUUAAAAUGUCAACUUAAUAAAAGAAGUUAGUUUAUUUAUUUAUUUAUUUAUUUUUUAUACUUAACUGAUUAAUACGAGAUUUUACCUUUUAACAAAUGCCACCAAACAGCUUCAAAUCUAAGAUGCUAUUCCUAAAGUAAAUCUUCACACGUCUAUGAUCAAACAACAAUUAUGCUACAGUAAUAUAAUGUUCGACAUAAUUAUUGACAUAAUGCCACAUGGCAUUCCAUCAUUGGGUUAUUUUAAACACGGUCAACGUCCCAUCAAAUCGUCUAUUGCCAAUUGGGAUUAUGUUAUUGCAUUUGUUAAAAUUUUUAUGUGAAAGUGGCAAAAUCCAUCAAACAAUCAACUGGCUAGCCUUGAUAAUAUGGAGGAGAUACACAUGGCAGAACCUCAUCUGCAACCAGUUUUUACCUGCGGUUUAAGACCGAUACACGACCCUUUCCUUGGUCUACAAACUGAAAAUGGGUGUCAUUCGGGAGAGAAUCAAUAGUUUCCUUUUCAAUUGGGAGGGAUUCAUCUAAGAUUAUGGGUGUCAUGUGUCAGUAUAGCUGCCUAAAUUACAGCUACCCAGGAUAAGUAUAUGCGUUAUCUAUCUAUAUACAUGACUUGCAUCUAUCUAUCUAUCUGUAUGGAUCAAAGGUGUCGAGAUUUAAAUAUAUAUACCAAACCAAAAGAGCUGAGGAACAUGGCGAACCAUCCCAAGAUUGGGGUGCCCACAAGCUCUAAUUAUAUUGUGGCCGUGUACGUGAAAAUGCAUGCCUCAAAUGCCGAUGAACCGAGAGAAAUCUAUUGAGUAUGCAUGAGAAGAAGAGAGCAAAUCAUAGCCGAGAACAACUUGCCGGACCUUUCAAACAGUAGUUGCCAUUUUUCGGCAAGUCAUCCUUGGCUGCAAUUUACUCUCUACCUCUUCAUGCAAAACUCUCAAGAAGGCUUGUCUAAUUCUACAUUCAACUGAGCAUUGUCUUGUGUUUAUAUAGGCACAAAAGAAUGGAGAGUGUAAAGGAUGAUUAAUUUAUUAGUGCAUGAGUGGCCCCCGAAAUAUUCUGUCACACCCAAUCUGCUCACUUAUUUCAUCUAAAAGGUCAAGCUUAUCAACAUUUUAUCGCAGCAAACAAAGACUUCCUUUUACAAAAAUUCUAAACUAGUUAGACUUAUUUAGAAAAGCAUAUAGUAGUUUAAGUCGUUCGAUGAAAUAGAGGCCGAAAAUCGUAGGGCAUGCCUUGUAUGCACAGAGUUAGCAGCCACACAAAAUCAUUAAGAUUCUCAUGUCCUCGGAAACAACCAAAGCUUGCCAAAGAGUUGACAAGCAAAGAGGUGGUCUAAUGGUUGAAUUCUAAAACAAUAAUGGGAAUAGAAUAUAUGAGAAAGGAAUCCAAGAAAAGAAGUAGAUUGGUCAACAUUUGAAUUAAUAUUGUCGAUAUAUAAUAGGCUCGAGGGAUUGGAAGAACAUGGUUCCAUGGCAUUUAUUUCAUUCAUGUGUGUCUUCUCUUUUACUCCUACUCAUAUUGGCCUUUCAAAGGUUCCACGUAUCAAAGUUGAAAAAGUUCAAACGAACAAUUCAAUCGAUUUAAAAUUUGGAUGAGUAACUAAGCCAAAUUCAAAGAUUAAUAUUUUAAAAUGAAGCAUCAUCUUACAAAAAUGUUAAGGAUAUGAUUUCAUAUAGUAUGACACCAAUUUUAUUCCACCGACAAUAAUCAAUUUACAGAAAGAAAAAUAAACACGCAAGAACAUGCAAUAAUUAUAAAGAUUCACCUUAAUAUGAGACUACGUCCUCUUCCACUACUUCAUUAUUUCACUACGAUUAAAAAAAAAAGAUUUACAAGAAAAAAUUGUACAAACCCGAAAUUAUUGGUCCGAGGACUCCAUAAAUUAACAAUUAAGCUAGACAAUAAAUUAGAUUCCACAACUUAAUAAUUUAUUCAUUGACAAAUAAUAUAUUGUAGUCUCAAUGUGAAAAUAUUAACACAAAAACCAUGGAUAUGACAUUAAUGUGUUUUAGAUAGACACAAUAUUAAACAUUCAAAACCGUGUAAUUCCUUAAGAUUCCAUACAGCACACUGCAAAAAUGCCCCAUAAAAUAAUAUGAUCAAUAUAUAUUACACUGUUCUUAUUACUGCUGGGUCAAGCCGAAAUGCCAAAAGGGGGAGGCCAAAAAGUUGCUUUCUAGAAUGAAGGCUUUGAAAUUUUUAAGUCAAAAAGACUUUGAAACAAAAUUAUGGACGUCAAUCAAUUGAGAAAAUUUAAGUGAGCCCACAAUAUAUAUUGUAAAUUGAGUGGAAUUGAACAUGGAAAAUUCGAUGAAAAGGCAAGAAGUAUGCCUAUUGAUCAUUUGAAAGAUAACUCGAAUCAAAUGAAAGAGUAUUGAGCUUCAAUCAACCUUGUUAAGAGAGUUAAAUAAAAGCUUUUAAGUCGAUUAAUUUUUUUACAUUUGAGAACAUAUAAGAUUUACCCUUAAUAUAUCAACAGAUAAGAUUUACCCUUAAUAUAUCAUCAAGAAUGGCGACUCAUUUAAGAACAAUAAUCUUAAAAUUUUAUUAUGCUUUUGAGAGUAGUUCGUUUGAGCUCUAAAACCACAUUAUUUAUCGGAUUUGUACCUUGAAAGAUAACCUUAUUAAGAGUAUGCCAAAAAUUGAUUAAUUAUUUCUUGUCUACCCUUACCAGAAAAUAUUUAAAUAUUAUUUCGAUUUUGGAAUUUCUUUUUUCAUUUUGAGCAAUAGGGAAAAAAAAACAUUAAACUUGAGCAUGUGUAAAUGUUUAUUAAACUCGUUACAUUAUUUCAAUUUUGGUAAAUGUUUUAAUAAUUUAUAUGAUUGAGUUGAAUAUUUUUUAAAUUAGUUUUAGUUUAUGAUUUAGUGGCAGUCGAAUCGUUAAGGAUUCGGAUCGUCACAGUUGCUCUUGUAAUCUUUAGGUUUCAUUGAUCGUUUGACUUAUUAAAUCAUUACAGAAUUAAUAUAAUGAAUUUACACAAGAUUAAUAGAGAAAAAAUAGAAGUUCAAUUCGAAUGCAAAAAUGCUUCUGAUAUUUGGUCCAAAACCACGAAGUGGUGGUGCGUUCUUCCACUUCGAAAACUUGGAUGCACCUUGAGACCAAAUCCAAAUGGUCAAAAUCACUCUUCUCUUCCUAUGAGGGAUAAUCAGCUUUUUGUUUCCAUUCAUACGAAAUCUGUAAAAGAGUUGUGAGUUAGAGAUGACAUCUCACCGUGUAAUAAGGACAACCCGUGGCCCGAUUCUUUUAAUCUAUUUCAUGCUCUUCAUCUUUUACAUCUUUCUUUCUCCCUAAGUUUCGGUUUCCCGGUGAUGAUUUUUCAAGUUCUUUUAAAUAACUCUUCUUUUGAGGGAGGAAAUGGGAAUUUAUCCACACUAUUCAAAAAUGAAUUUCAACUCCAAAUCAAAAGGUUUAGCAAUAAUUGCUCCCACUUGGAAUAUUCGGGAAUUCGAUCUUCACCGCUUUCAAUUUGUUUACAAUUAUUUGCAACUCAUGCACUUGAGGUAAUAAGGAAAUAUUAUCUAGAAACUUGAAAUCAAAAUAUUUAGAAAUUAAAAUUUUUUUUAUACCUUCCUCUUUAGCCUUAUAUUUGCUUUCAAGUGCGUACAAGAUAUCUUUUAUUGAUGUAGUGUUGGUGUAGAGAUCAUAGAAUUGAUCCGAUAACGCAUUUAGGAUGUGACCACGACAUAUUAAUCCGUCCUCUUCCCGUUUAUUUCUUUCUGCACGAACUUCAUCAGUGUCUUUGUCUGUUGCAUCGAAAAUUAGCUCAAAUUUGAAUCAAGCUCGUAGAAGAUCUUUAACGCCGUUAGAACGAAUUUGAGAUUGUCCUGCCAUCUCGUGAAAUUUGAUCCAUGAAAUCUAUCCAAACGCACUAAAUCUUGAUUCAUCAUUUUGAUUGUAGAGAGCGUAGAUUUCGUCUCCAUCGUAGUAAAAUGACAAAUAUCAUUUGAGAAUAUUAAGAAAAAUACAACAAUGGAAGACAAAUUUAAGAAGAAGAAGAUGAAUAUAUAUAUAUCAAAGUAGGCUUGAACAUGAAAAAUAUAUCAUUGUCCUCAAACGAUAUUUGCCUCCUUCAUAAUGCUUUUAAGGAUUAAAAUUGAUAAAUAUUUGUAGAAUUGAUCAAGCCUUAAUGAAAACACGAAAAUCAAAAGCGAUAUUCAAAUGAACAAGUGAAAAAAGAAGAAUCAGAUUAUGUAGAGGGACAAAAUAGUAAAGAGUAAGUUUUUUCAUGUGUUUUUGGGAUGAACACAACAUAUAUUUAUAGAUUUCAAUCAUUCCUACAUGAAGUGAUUCCAACUCAAACAAUCAGGUGCAUGGAUUCACGACCACCAGAAAUUUGAAAAAAUUCCAACCAAUGGUCAUAUUUUUCAACUAUGCGACCACUUAGGCUAUAACUAUGCGGUUGUAUAGUUAUAGCAUUUGUUGCGUCAAAUUUUUCGGCAAACCCAUAUGCGACCACAAGCCAAAAUGGCUUGUGCGGUCGUAUAGAUCAUUUUAGGGCAAAUUCUUCCUUCUUUUUCUCAAUUCAUCCUUCAUCCAUUUUAAUUUUGAACAACCAUAUUGCAAUAGUUUGUAGCAUUAGUUCCACUAUGAUUAGAUUUAUUGACAAAGAGGUUUUGAUUGAUAUACCUAUAUUAAGAGGUUGUUUGAGCCCCAUUUUUUCAACAAAUAAAAAUGCAUUUCGAAAUAAUGUUAUGAUAGAGAAUGUGUGGUUAAAAAAUAAAGGUAGGUUUGAGUUUGCAUGUAACGUUAUUUUAUCGAAAAAUGGGUAGUUAAAAUGAGGUAAGAUUACUGUUGAAAAAUAUAUUUUUAUAAAAUAAGGAGGGGUGGUCAAACAAAGGCUAAAUUGAGGAACUCAAUUCUCCAACUGGAAGUCAGGAAAACCUAGGAUACAUAGUGGAAAGUACUUAUUAGGUGGAUGUACUUGGCUAAGUUGGUGGAGGUUAUUUAUUUUAUGCCCCGUUUGCCCCCUUAAAACUCUUCAAUUUAAUUUAAAUUUUUUCUCCUAUUUUCAUCCACACAAUCUUCAAUGAAAUAAUGUUACACAAAAAUUAAAAAAUUUUCAUUCUUUUACAAUUUUCCAUUUUUUAAAAAAAUAUUAUUCUUCCCAUUAUAAACCCAAAUAAUGGGGACCAAAUGGGGGCUUAGUCUCCAUAUAAUUUGAGAAACUGGAAAAAAAAAUGCCUACUUGUUUUAGAUCGAAUUUUUUAAAUCUGUUUAGUAAAUUAUUUGUUUAGAGAAGCAGUAAAUAUCUCGCGCGUUAUCAGCAUAAAAAUGGUCAGAAGAAGUGGUGUAUUAGCCCAGUCUUAGUUUUAACUAAUUCAAGGGUUAGAAGAAGUGUUGUGUUAGUCUAUGCACCUUUGUAGCUUUUCGUCUACGCACCUGUGUAUCUUUUCGUGUGUAUUGGGUGUAUUUAGGAAGAGUUAGUAUUUUAUAUGCUUCUAGUAUAACUUCUUUUUACUUGAGCACCUUGUGUAUCUAUAGAUCAUCCCACUUCUUUCCCCUAGAAGAAUUCAUUUGGUUGUGGUUCAUUGCUCACAUGAUAACAAGCUAUGCUGUAUUAUCAAUAUGUUUGAGGCUUACUUCAUGAAUCCUUUUUAGACACUUUGUUUAAACCAUUGCAUAAUUGUCGAAAGACCUGGUUAAAUCAAAUUGUUUGCAACUGUUAGCUUUUUUGUUAUCCUAUUCUUGUAAACUGUUCUAUUAGGACAAAGGUGUGCUUGUAAAUGAGAGCUUCUAUACAUGCUAUUACCCAACUGUUUGUUAUUGGAUUUAAUCAUAACAAUAGGAAAUUAAUUUUCCUUUGAAUAUUAAACCCAUAUAAAAAACCUUGAGAUCAUUGGAUGUUCUAAAUCAUCAUACAUAAAAAAAGGGAAGAUGAUAACCUUAAAAGACCUUUUAAUGGCCUAGCCAAAUACUUUCUCCCUUAGAUCUUCUCCCUUGUUCUCCUUUAGGUGCCUUCCUCUUUUUGGAAAAUGAAAAAAUGGCUAACCCUAAGCAUAUGAAAAUGUGCCCAUAAGGGGUAUAUUUAUAAUACUCAAUUAAGGUUUCAAAAUUGCACAAAUUUUCUUGGACUUUAUUGUAGUGGACCAAUUAAGUUUCACUCCUUUAUUGGAGCCAAAAGAGGGAUAUAAUUGGACUCACAUGACUCAAGCUCCAAUAGAUGUAUCUAAUUGGGUGAAUUCUUGACCCAUCGAGAUACACCUAUUAAUCUCGACUUGUUCCAUUAAAAAAUCGAGAUUGCACUCUCGAGUCGAGUGAUAUUUAUAGAAGUAAAUUAUGAUCCAAUAACAAUAUUCUCUUAUUAUCGUUUCACAAGUCAACCCCCAUUUAUCCAUCAAUAUGUUGAAAUUGACAAAAUGACCAUUUUGCCCUUCAAUAUGUAUUACCCUUUAAGUUCCAUUUUCAUACCUCAAAUUUAUUGUGAUCAAAUCAAAACAUAAAGUUCAACGAUCUCAUCAUUGGACUACUAAGUUCCGGUUCAAUUUGCCUAUCGAAUAUAUCUUUGAGUGAUGAUCGUCUCAUCUCACUGAUUGAUGAAUUCCACUAUCGCAAGUAUAUGAUCUCUAAUUGUUUCGGUUCGAUUCCCAAAAUACCAAGAUCAAUCUUUUAUUUAAGAAUUCACUCAUUAGUACUUCAAAGAACUUGAACUAGCAAUCAAAGGUACAUUACUCACUUGAAAUUUAGGUGACUUUUUGAUAAUCAAGUAGAAUCUCAUUUCAAGCAAUCACAAAUAAGUUAUCUACGCAGUCCUGUUCAAUGUGUAUCGAAGUAUAUUAUUGUUCUUAUUCCAAAAUCUAGAAAAAUAUUAAUAAGAACAAUGCAAUCUUAUCAACAUAAAGUGUCCAACUUUACGUACUGAUUGUGAACGGCAUAUUUUGAUCAUAUCAUAAAUUGUGUCUUACUAUACUCGAACCAUCAAGUAUACAAUUUGUGACAUCAUAUAUGAUCAUGAAACCUCAAAUAAUAGCUUCAAAUUAUAACACGUAAAUAAACGAACGUCAAUUCAUAACUUGAUUUUACAGAAUCCUACUCGAAAAAAGGGCAUCAAACUAACACCAACAAUCAAAGUUAUUCCCUACAUUUAUCCUUGGUUGGUGCCACGUUAACUUGUUAAUGCAUAUAUUUCAUUUUUAUUUAUAUCCAUUAUAGCAUGGAUAAAACCAUCUCAUCACAAUCAUUUCUAUUAUGAUAAUCUUAUUGAUAUUUUUUCCAUUAACGAUACCAUAGAGGAUAAAUGGUCUAAUAAUUAUUCUUCAAAAUUAAUUAGUGGUUUAACUUUACAGAUAGUACAGAUAGGAUGCUAUUGUUUUCAUACAGAAAUUCUACAGUACGUCAUUUUGUUCAACCUCCUUGUACCUUAUAAAAUCUUGAGAUAUAAACUAUUUUUCUAGAUUCAGAGGGAAGUGUUGGUUUAAUAAGAAAUCAUCUUACUGCUUUAAAGAAAUAUACAUAUGGCAAAUCUGUGAGAACAAGGCACGUACUUUCUUUUACUUGCUUUCUAUUUCUUUCACAGUUUGGUACUUUUCUUUUGUGUUUUCCCUAAUUAGCUUAAUGGGCCAAGUUUAAAAGAUUUAGAAGCUUAUAAAUGUUUCAAAUUGAAUUGUUUUUGAGAACUUAUUUACUGACCCAAAUAUGGUCAAGAUCCUCUCUCUCGACCGUGUUAUACGAUGAUUGGUGAAUAUAGUUACUCCCACCACUGGACACGAAAAGGGGACAAGUCAGAGGUCUGGUUUUAGAAGCAGCCUAAUAAUCUCGGUCGCUGGUAUUCCUGGUCAAUGUAGAAGUGAACAGAUGAAUAUACAUUCCACAAAACAUCUCGUCUUUUCCCGUAUAUUAGUUUUCCUUUCUAGGAUUGGCAAUCUUGAUUUGGUUGAAAAAGCAUCAAAGUUGAACUGUUUCGUUUUUAGCAUAUAAUGUCUUGUUUGCUCAAGGAUCUUUGCAAUUCAGUUGCUAUAGAAAGGGGUUCAUUGGGGAAGUGAUGAUUUUAAAUUUUUUUGUUAUUUGACUCUUUAUAUUCACUAUUUCCAAAAUCUCCAUAAUAAUACUCCAAAACACAAUUCCUAAUUUAACAAUGUUUUAAAAUAAUUCCUAUGCAUCUCUUUCACCAUCUGGUUAUGCAGCAAUAACUUUAUGUUAAAAAAACACACUAAAAUUGCUCUUACAGAACUACCAACACAAUUUCCAGUAAGAAAAAAGAAUCUCUCUGUGCUCUUUGAUCUUCACCUCUGUACAAACCCACUAUCUUUCUUUACAUUCUUACUAAGUUGAACCAUCAGUUGACCAAGUCUAGGAGUGCUUUUAUCCUAAUCUCAGCCUAAACUCACUAUAAGUUUCUGUAUGCUAGGCAAUUGAGCAUGCGAAGAAAGCUGGUCUUACCUUAUAUUGUAUCAGUUAAAGGCUUUUAGCCAUCUACCUCGCUACUGCCUUCUGCAAAAAGGCUUUAGGGUUUUGUCAUGAUUCUUUGUGAUCUUUUGGUUGAGAAUGUCAGAAGGAACAUGGGAUUGGCAAUAUGUUCAUAUGGAAAAUGCUAUUUGUAAAAAAUCUUGGGAUCCCCCAUGUGAGGGGAAUGUACACCCGGUGUACGUGUAGCAAAACUCAUGGUCAUAUUGGUACCCAAACGUCAAUGUCACCGUGUUCAAUUCAAUCUUAUACAGUUCUAGGCAUUUAUGAUUUAUGCCACCUUGGAACUUGCUUGGCACAUCUUUGUGCUUUUGACUCUAAUCCAGUCUUUGACUACAAGGCAAUGUAAAUAAUGUCAGCAUUUUUUUUUUUUUUUUUAGGUAUGAGACUUUUUAUCUCUAUUCAAACUCAAGAACAUCCUCAGCUUUUUGACCUCUUUUUCUUCAAUAAAUAUAACUGACCUACUUUCUAAGGGAUCAUAAACUUGACAAAUGAGAUGCGGAGAUAGAUACAUUCGACUUUUUUUGUCCGAGUUCAAUUUUUGUUUUUGUUCAGAGAUAGUGCAUGUUUAUUCUCCAAGAUAAAUUUUCUCUUACAUUUUAUAUGCAGUCCGAAAUUCAAACAUCAGAAUCCUAGUGAUCCAGAUCACAUACAUCCGCAGCUUCCAUUCUUGCUCCAAUUGGCCUCAGACCUAUCAUUUCAGCUUCCAUCUUCAGAAGCGAUCUGUAUAUUAAUAGGUUAACAUGUAAAGUUCAGAAUACAUAAACGAUAUAUUAUUCUUCCACACAACUCCAAUGUGUGGAUAUAUUGGUGUGUGCAGAUUGCAGAUGAUAAUAUUUUUCCAAAAUAAUAAUAAUAAUAAUAAUUCUCGUGCGUGGCUAUCUAAUAUUCCUGACUUCCCCAUAUACACUACAACCUGUGAAGUAGAAGGUAGCUUCUGUUUUUUUCCUGUAAUUUUUGUUGUCGUUCAUGAGGUCGAAUUUAUGUUGAACGAUCAGAUACGCAAAAAGAGUAUUGCUGCAGCAAUUACUCUUGAAUCCCAUGUUGCAUGUGGGAGUUUUGUCUUCUGGAUUUGUAAGCACAUUAAACACCGUCCGUCAGAAGUUGGUUUUAAAGACGAGUUCACCCCCAUUCGUUUACAAUAAUGGUAUCGGAGCAAGUGUCCCUGGUUGGGGGAUCCUCGUCUCUGACGGGUAUUUAGAGAUGGCUAAUUCCAGUAAAGAACUUGAUUUCGCAGAAUUCAGUUGGAAUAAAUGGGGACUUUACUGUAAAGCGGGUGGAUUAUAACGAUUACUUGUGAAUCCAUCAUCGCUCAUGGAAAGGUUACUUCUGGUGAGAUAAGCACAUUUAGCGGCAACUUAUUUUUGCAGUCCUAAAUUGCAUAUUCUUUCUGAAUUCUUCAGAGCAGCCAGUAUAAAACGUGCAUAAAGAAAUGAUAGAGGACCAGGUGUAUCCUUUAAUUAGUGCAUGUCUGCCCAUAAAUUUGUACUCCUUUAUCCACAUAAAUACGAAAAUAAUUCCUAGUGUGGGUACUUCUAACCUAGUUCCAUUAAUAUUCCUCUGUAGUAUGACAAAAAAGUAUCUUGAGAGAUUUCUUAGUCGUUUAAUCGUUUCAAAAUAAACUUGACUACACAAUAAUUACUCGUUUAUGUACGAGAUUUUCUUAUCGAGAACAAGUUUUUUUAAGACUGAUUUUUAUAUUGCCGCGUUGCAAUUUUCUAGAAUGUUACAACCCUUUAUUGAAUUAAAAAAAAAAUAGCGACUUUUCGAUAAGCGAGUGGGGCAGGCGACAAUAGCCAUAACUCGAACAAAAGGAAAGUAGUUGAUUAGGGAUAGACUCAAACCAAUAUGUUAUUGGUGCUCCGAUCUUAUCACACAUACAAUUCUGGCAAAGCUAUUAAUAGUCAGCAAUAAAAACAAAAAUCCUAUAUUUUUUUUUGGGAAAAUAGAAAUCUCCAUGUAUAUAUAUAGAAAAAAUCUCACAUACAUGCCUAACCCAAUAUAGACUAAGGGCACUGUGAUUUUCAGAAAUUCUCAUUUUUAGUUUUCCAUAUCCGAAUCAAGACUAAAAUGAUCCUAUUCUUCCUACUACCGUCUCUACCUGUUAUUUUAUUCUUCCUGAUUUUGACCCAGAAAAGAUUGGUGAAGAAAAACCUUGUUCCACCAGGUCCUCCAGGUAUCCCCUUCAUUGGAAAUCUGCUCCAAUUUGCUCCUGCCACUCCUCAUCUAUAUUUAUGGCAACUUGCAAAGAAAUAUGGUCCUCUUAUGUCCAUGAAGCGUGGUUCUGUUCCAGUACUUGUGGUUUCUUAAGCAAAAAUGGCCAAAGAAGUACUUAAAACCCAUGAUCUUACUUUCAGUAGCAGGCCUAAAUUUAUUAGCUUUCAAAGCUAUCCUAUAAUGGCUUGGAUGUAGCCUUUGCGCCUUAUGGUGAAUCUUGGAGGGAAAUUAGAAAAAUCUGUGUUCUUCAUUUCUCAAGCAAUAAACAAGUGCAAUCUUUUACCUCUCUUCAGGAAGAUGAAGUUUUUCGUAUGAUCACAAGGAUCUCAGAUUUGGCACGUUCAAAUCAUGGUCAUCUUACUAACUUAAGUGAAACAGUAUUGACUUUCACGAGCAGUUUAAUUUAUAGAAUUGCUUUUGGAAAGAAGAUUGAUGGUCAGGAAUCAGAAAUUAAGAAGUUUCAUGAACUUACGCAUCAAGCUGACGCGAUGCUGGGUGGCUUAAUUGUUUCUGAUUAUUUACCUUCAUUUAGUUGGGUGGAUAAACUCUCCGGUAUGGCAACUCGACUCGAGAAGACGUUCCAAAACUUGGAUUCAUUCUAUCAAAAACUCAUCGACGAGCACUUGAAGCCUAGUAGGUCGAAAUCAACGAAUAAGGAUAUUCUUGAUCUCUUGAUCCAGCUCAAAGAACAACAAUCUUGUGCUGUCGAGCUCACCCUGGAUCAUAUAAAAGCAGUACUGAUGGUAAUUUAUCAACUUUUGAUAAUGAUGACGACUAAGUUUAUCUUUAGACGUUUAAAUGAUUAACUAACUUAUAGUGACUUUUAGUGCUGCUUGGUAGAAUAUAUUUAUUGCAGGAACGGAUACGAGUGCAGCAACAAUAAUUUGAGCAAUGACAAGCCUGAUAAAGAAUCCGAAUGCGAUGAAGAACGUGCAAGCAGAAAUCAGAUAUCAGGUCGGAAAUAAAGGCCGAGUGGACAAAGAUGAUUUGGAGAAACUUCCCUAUCUAAAGGCAGUAAGAAAGGAGAGUUUUAGAUUAUACCCUCCAGCUCCACCUCUAGUGCCAAGAGAAACAAUGAAAAGCUGCAUUAUAGAGGGAUAUGAAAUCCAACCCAGAACCUUAGUUUACAUCAAUGCAUGGGGCAUUGCAAGAGAUCCUGGGUAUUGGGAAAAUCCAAUGGAAUUCUGGCCUGAAAGAUUCUUAAAUAGUGCUGUUGACAUCAAAGGUCAGGAUUUCGGGUUGAUCCCAAUUGGGUCCGGUAGAAGAAAUAGCCCCGGAAUGUCUCUAGGACUUGGAACAGUGGAGCUUGCACUUGCCAAUCUUCUUUACUCAUUCGACUGGGAAUUGCCUCGUGGGAUGAAAGCGGAAGACAUUGACUCUGAUGUUUUGUCAGAAAUUACAGUACAGAAGAAAAAUGCACUUUGUAUUGUGCCUAGAAACUACUUGUGUACUUGACUGCUCACUCACUAAUGAUUUCAGCUUUCAAAACAAUGUAAAAUAUAGAAAACUUGAUGCGUACCCUAGUAGGUUUGUUGGCAAGGCUCAUUGAGAAAUUAUGUCUCCCAGUAUUGUACUACUUUCCUUGUAUAUUACAUAUUUCUAUUCAAAAUAAAGAUUGAAUAUUAAUCUUCAAUUUCACUUAUCAGAGAAGAUUUAUCGACUUGGUAAUCCACAGCUGGAUUUAGAUUUUAUUAUUUUCUUUUUAAUCAAAAAAUUCGUAAUGGUUAGAGAUAUUCAUUGUAAUCACAUAAUUAGCUUGCUCGUGAUGUGAAAGAUUGAAUUCAAGAAGAUUGUAAUCAAACCUCGAUAUCUACAGUGCUAACAUGGAAAUCAUCAAGGCCAUCUAGAAGGCUGGAUUGGGAGGGGAGGCAUGGACACAGUAUGGAGAGUUACGUCCACAUUUUCGACCACAGCAACUAAUAUUUCUCGAGCCAGUCAGUCCUAAAGUGGCCAUAAGCAGUUCAGAACUGAGAAUAAAGUCACGAGUAACAAUGAAAAGCUGCAUUAUACAGCGAUAUGAAAUCCAGCCCAGAACCUUAGUUUACAUCAAUGCUUGGGGCAUUGCAAGAGAUCCUGAGUAUUGGGAAAAUCCAAUGGAAUUCUGGCCUGAAAGAUUCUUAAACAGUGCUGUUGAUAUCAAAGGGCAGGAUUUCGGGUUGAUCCCAUUUGGGUCUGGUAGAAGAAAUUGCCCCGGAAUGUCUCUAGGACUUGUAACAGUGGAGCUUGCACUCGCCAAUCUUCUUUACUCAUUCGACUGGGAAUUGCCUCGUCGGAUGAAAGCGGAAGACAUUGACUCUGAUGUUUUGCCAGGAAUUACAGUACACAAGAAAAACGCACUUUGUCUUGUGCCUAGAAACUACUUGGGUACUUGAAUGCUCAUGAAUGAAUGAUUUCAGCUUUCAAAACAAUGUAAAAUAUAGAAAACUUGAUGCGUACCCUAGUAGGUUUGUUGGCAAGGCUCAUUGGGAAAUUAUGUCUCCCAGUAUUGUACUACUUUCCUUGUAUUUACAUAGUUUUAUUCAAAAUAAAGAUUGAAUAUUAAUCUACAAUUUCAUGCAUUAUAGAGGGAUAUGAAAUCCAACCCAGAACCUUAGUUUACAUCAAUGCAUGGGGCAUUGCAAGAGAUCCUGGGUAUUGGGAAAAUCCAAUGGAAUUCUGGCCUGAAAGAUUCUUAAAUAGUGCUGUUGACAUCAAAGGUCAGGAUUUCGGGUUGAUCCCAAUUGGGUCCGGUAGAAGAAAUAGCCCCGGAAUGUCUCUAGGACUUGGAACAGUGGAGCUUGCACUUGCCAAUCUUCUUUACUCAUUCGACUGGGAAUUGCCUCGUGGGAUGAAAGCGGAAGACAUUGACUCUGAUGUUUUGCCAGGAAUUACAGUACACAAGAAAAACGCACUUUGUCUUGUGCCUAGAAACUACUUGUGUACUUGAAUGCUCAUGAAUGAAUGAUUUCAGCUUUCAAAACAAUGUAAAAUAUAGAAAACUUGAUGCGUACCCUAGUAGGUUUGUUGGCAAGGCUCAUUGAGAAAUUAUGUCUCCCAGUAUUGUACUACUUUCCUUGUAUAUUACAUAUUUCUAUUCAAAAUAAAGAUUGAAUAUUAAUCUUCAAUUUCACUUAUCAGAGAAGAUUUAUCGACUUGGUAAUCCACAGCUGGAUUUAGAUUUUAUUAUUUUCUUUUUAAUCAAAAAAUUCGUAAUGGUUAGAGAUAUUCAUUGUAAUCACAUAAUUAGCUUGCUCGUGAUGUGAAAGAUUGAAUUCAAGAAGAUUGUAAUCAAACCUCGAUAUCUACAGUGCUAACAUGGAAAUCAUCAAGGCCAUCUAGAAGGCUGGAUUGGGAGGGGAGGCAUGGACACAGUAUGGAGAGUUACGUCCACAUUUUCGACCACAGCAACUAAUAUUUCUCGAGCCAGUCAGUCCUAAAGUGGCCAUAAGCAGUUCAGAACUGAGAAUAAAGUCACGAGUAACAAUGAAAAGCUGCAUUAUACAGCGAUAUGAAAUCCAGCCCAGAACCUUAGUUUACAUCAAUGCUUGGGGCAUUGCAAGAGAUCCUGAGUAUUGGGAAAAUCCAAUGGAAUUCUGGCCUGAAAGAUUCUUAAACAGUGCUGUUGAUAUCAAAGGGCAGGAUUUCGGGUUGAUCCCAUUUGGGUCUGGUAGAAGAAAUUGCCCCGGAAUGUCUCUAGGACUUGUAACAGUGGAGCUUGCACUCGCCAAUCUUCUUUACUCAUUCGACUGGGAAUUGCCUCGUCGGAUGAAAGCGGAAGACAUUGACUCUGAUGUUUUGCCAGGAAUUACAGAUGUAUUGUUUGUAAUAUUUUUCUAUCAAAUAAUCCUAUACCUGCAGCAUUGUUCCAGAACUAAAUGUAUAUCUCAAGAUCCCAACUACUUGGCAUUGAAAAAAUAUAGUGCAUCUAUGUAACUCUCCUGCUGUAACAAGCUACCGACUCUACACCCCAUCCUAUAUAUUCAAGGACAUCAUCAUGCAAAAGUGUAAUUCAGAAUUCAAUGUGUAUAUUUAUUGUUUGUAAUAUUUUUCUAUCAAAUAAUCCUAUACCUGCAGCAUUGUUCCAGAACUAAAUGUAUAUCUCAAGAUCCCAACUACUUGGCAUUGAAAAAAUAUAGUGCAUCUAUGUAACUCUCCUGCUGUAACAAGCUACCGACUCUACACCCCAUCCUAUAUAUUCAAGGACAUCAUCAUGCAAAAGUGUAAUUCAGAAUUCAAUGUGUAUUUGAGUCGCAUUAUUUUUGAAGAAUAUAUUUUGGAGUAGUAUAUUGAUAGAAAAUGUAUGAUUAAAAAUUAUGUAAAAGUUCUAAAUUUGCAUAUAAUAUUAUUUUAUUGAAAAAUGGAUUGUUGAAAUGAUAUAAGAAAACUAUUUUAGACUGUAUUUUUUCAAAAUAAACAGGGCAUCAAUCAUCCUUCCCUAGUAGUAAACAACCAACAACUUAAGCAUUGGAAUGACUUCACGCUUCAUAUUUUCAAUAGCCCACCUGCCUAACAUUGAAUUGUUUUCAAGAUUCUAGUUAAGUUUUGGGUUGAACCAAUCGAGGCGAGAGCGAAGCAAUAGACAAGCUGAGCUUAGAAGACAUCAAGGGCACAGCUAAAAUGCAGGCUGUAAGGAAAUAUCAGAUAUUAGAUAGGUUACCUUUUCAUUAACCCCUUUAUACCUAUCUUCUCAAAUUCCCUGCCGAUUAUACAGUUCUGUGUAUGUAAUAUGCAGUUUCUUGGAUGAAUAUUCAACAUGAAAGCACCUGUUGCUAACUAUCUAACAAUAAAGAUUGAAAUAUUUCUUCACAGCCCCCAAGCAAAAAAACAAAAAAUCGAAAAAGGAGGCUGAGAGCCUAUACAAGGCAAAAGGAAAAUGCAUAUAAAUGGCCACACAAAUUUAUACAGGGGUAAAUUCUACGGGAAAAUGCAGUUAAGCAUAAACAAUCUUUUACCAUAGAUAUUCAAUACCCAAUAAAAGCAAGCAGUGUCUAUAAACCCAUAAUUCAUAUAAUCAAAAUUCCAGCUUAACCAAGUAGUAACAUUCAGUAGGCAACAAUGUGAAAAAAUUAUACUAAUCAAAGAGAGAGAAUCCCAUGUCAUCGUCACUUUCCUCUUUCUCUUCCUUCUUCUCCUCAGCAGCAGGUGCCUCAGCUGCAUCGCCAGCAGCAGGAGCAGCAGCUGCUGCAGCUCCACCUCCUCCAAUGAAUGCACCACCACCAACAGCACCACCAAUAAUCACCUGUGCCAUUGCAACAGAUUCAAUUAUAUACUGCAACACAAGCAUCCCUAGGACGAACCUAACAAGAGUUCUAGAAAAUUCGACUAUAACACAAGAUUUUCACACUAUAAAAUAAUGAGAAUUCGGGGUUUAAUGACACAACUGAACACACGUUGAACAAGGAAAAGAACACAAAUAGUAAAUUAUAAUUCCUGCAAUAGAAAGGUAGAACUUUCCGAAGCCAAAUGUACACACGUUAGUGUUGCUCGCUUCGCAAUAAAGUCUUAUACUUGCCACACUAGACCCAAACACAAAAUAGAGGGAAUGACGCAUAUCAAUCAGAUCUACACUCAUCGAAUAAUUAAGUUACGAGUAAAGAUAAAAAAU
This 34684-nucleotide long non-coding RNA is filed under the name Olea europaea (common olive). The record is from RNAcentral. Lineage: Eukaryota; Viridiplantae; Streptophyta; Magnoliopsida; Lamiales; Oleaceae.